RNAcentral lists this long non-coding RNA (693 nucleotides) under Daucus carota (carrot). RNAcentral describes it as "long non-coding RNA (DCAR_LNC003876)". The record is from RNAcentral. Lineage: Eukaryota; Viridiplantae; Streptophyta; Magnoliopsida; Apiales; Apiaceae.
AUACAUCAAUAUACAGUGCAAUCAUAUUUUUUGACAACUCCUUUUAUCAAACAAAAAUGUCUUGCUGUGGAGGAAAGUGCGGAUGCGGUUCUGACUGCAAGUGCGGCAGCGGCUGCAAUGGGUAAAUUUACCUUUUAAUUAUGUUUUUCGUAAAUUUUUAAGUAGGUUCGAGUCUCGUUGGAGGCAUAUAUCGGUGAUUAAGCCGCCCUCAAAACGUAGUCACUUGCAUUCCAGAAAUGAACGAGUCACUGUCCUGAUAUUUAAUUAAUUUUAUUUUACCUGUUUUAAUUCCUUAAUUUCAGAUGCGGCAUGUACCCUAACAUGGAGAACACCGCAGCUGCAACACCCUUGAUCGACGGUGUUGCACCAACGAUGAUGUAUGUAUAAAUUAUCUAAUUAAUUGGAUAUUUGUUAUUACAGAGAAAUUUAAUAUUUACGCGAAGAUAUAAACGUAAAUUUUUUAUGUGAAUGACGGGGCAUGUGGUAUAACAGGUACGCUGAGGGCUCCGAGAUGAGCUUUGGAGCUGAAGGAGGGCAUGCGUGCAAGUGCGGAUCAAACUGCACCUGUAACCCGUGCAAGUGUUGAUGAUUAAAUGGAGGAAUCGAUGCCCUAAUAAAGCAGCUUGUUUGUGACUUUAAGUGUGUCUUUCUGUGUGAAAGCAUAUGUUAUUAUAUGGUAUUAUAAUAAGGGAG